Molecule: ribosomal RNA, 450 nt
Filed under: uncultured bacterium
Lineage: Bacteria
Description: bacterial SSU rRNA
Rfam family: Bacterial small subunit ribosomal RNA
Source: RNAcentral
AUUGAACGCUGGCGGCGUGCCUAACACAUGCAAGUCGAGCGGUAACAGGUGUAGCAAUACAUGCUGACGAGCGGCGAACGGGUGAGUAAUGCUUCGGAAUCUACCCAAUGGUGGGGAAUAACCAGCCGAAAGGUUGGCUAAUACCGCAUACGUCCCACGGGAGAAAGCAGGGGAUCGCAAGACCUUGCGCCAAUGGAUGAGCCGAAGUCGGAUUAGCUAGUGGUAGGGUAACGGCCUACCAAGGCGACGAUCCGUAGCUGGUCUGAGAGGACGACCAGCCACACUGGGACUGAGACACGGCCCAGACUCCUACGGGAGGCAGCAGUGGGGAAUAUUGGACAAUGGGGGAAACCCUGAUCCAGCGACGCCGCGUGUGUGAAGAAGGCCUGCGGGUUGUAAAGCACUUUUAGUGGGGAUGAAAUGUUCAGGGUUAACACCUCUGGUAUUUUG